CCGUUUGACCAAAAAAAAAAAAGAAUAAGCGAGAAACUCGAGCUUUUCUCUUCUGUUACUCCAUAAAUUUCAAAAAAUUCCUCCCUACACCCCAACUCGUUCCUUUCCACCCAAGAAAAGAAAAACCCUAAUCCCCUCUGACAGACGCAAAUCACCAUGGCCAGCGAUUCCCAAGACCCCACCCGUCGGAAAGACCGCCGUUCCUCCACUUCCGACGACUCCUUGGAGCCCUCGAAACGCCGCAAGCACGGCCACCGCCGCCACCACCACCGCAGCCGAAAGCACAUAGAGGGCGAGGAAGAAGUCGAAAUGGAAGGCAAGCGUGGGGGAAAAGAGGAGGGUUCUCUUCCUCCGCGCAUCGUAUCGGGACCUCGACUCGCUUACGAUGAUAUGGAGGAAGGAGAGAUCGUCGAAGACGACGACGGUUUUAACGGCGGCGAUGCGGAUGCAGAGAAGAGGAGAGCGGAUUCUGACGUGAAGUCGGGCGAAUUAAGGGCGGGUGAAGCUCGUGGUGGUUCUGACGAUUAUGGCACGGGAGUUCAUAAGUUGGUGAACAACCGAACAAUGGAUGAAUUUGUAGGUAUAACUGAUGGUAGUAACAUCAGUAACGGGGUUGGCUUUCUGGGGAGGCCAAGUUCCGAGAAUUAUGUUAAUGGAGAUGUUGGACGGGAAGUGCUUAUAGAAAGCUUUAGGCCUCUCACAGGAUCUCAGUCCCCUGGUAAAUGUAGUCGCAAGCAAAAGGGCUACUGUGAAGAUGGCAUCGAUUCAAGAUCGAGAGAUUGGAGGAAAUCGUCGUCUUCUGGCAACAAUGGGUACAAACACGAAGACAUGGCAUUCUCUCCUUCCCAUGAUAGAUACCAUGAAAAGAUUCAUAGUAGGAACAGAUCGGAGUCGCAUGAUCGAGCAAGGGAAAGAUCUCGAUCGCGAAGCGUUGUAGAAGAGGCUUCCUCUUGGAAAUCAACUGGUUUGGAUGACGGCAAAAUUGUUGGACGAAGUCGGGAUUACCGACAUGACAAUAGAGAUUUAUUGGGGGAUAACGGUAGGGAACGUAGUUCUAGUUAUAGUAGAUAUGCUAGGGGUCUGGACAGGCACCACAGCAGAGAGGCACAAGACAGAGGGAGGGAGGGGAGUUGGGACACUUGGGACAAAGAUAGAGAGAGAAGGGAGGUGGGCAGGGACAGAAAAAGAGAAGAGGAACAGGACUGGGACAGGGAGAGGGAGAAGUCGAGAGAUAGGGAUAGGGGGAGAGAGAGGGGAAGAGAGAAGGACAAGGAAAGAGAGCAGGAGAGGGAAAGUAGGAGGCAGAGGGAGGAAGAGAGGGAAUGGGAUAGGGAUAGUGGAAGAGAUAGAAUAAGAGGCCGAGAAAGGGAUAAAGAAAGUGGUAGGUUUAGCAGACACCGCAAUUAUGACAAUAAUGUUGACAAUGGAGAUAUUUAUGAUCGUUAUGAGGGUUCGAGACACGAUGAAACCAAUUUCAGGGGGGACAGGACCGGGAAAAACCAUACAACCAAAAUGAAUUCUAUGGGCGAGGACGAAGAUAAACUUGAAAGAGAUGAAGAUGAACAAGAAGAGUACCAGGAGAGGAUUGCAUUGCAACUUGUGGAUCAGGAAGACGAAGAUAUUAACAGAAUUAAGGAGGAGAGUAGAAGAAGAAGGCAGGCUAUUCUUGAAAAAUACAAGAGUCAGCAGUUACAGCAGCAGCAUGAGCCUCAUUUGGAGGAUAAGGAUACGGAGCACGUUGAACAAAGUUCGGAGCAGGCAGCUACCAUUAGUGAAACUAUUGGCAGUAAGACUGAAAGCGUGGAUGCCUCAUUUGUUGGCCCAUCAUCUACUGUUGAGAAAUCUCCUCGACAAAACGAGAUUUCUGCUUUGGGCAGGACUUCUGUUGCUGGGGGACUGGGAGAAGGUACUCCUAAGAAUGAGAAGUCCGAUGAUAUGUUUUGUGAUGACAUUUUUGGAGAGUCGCCUGCUGGAGUCCGUAAAAUAGGAAAAGGAGAUGGUUUAGUAAUUGAAAGAAGUGGUCUUCAUGACAAUUGGGAUGAUGCAGAAGGGUAUUACAGCUACCGGUGUGGGGAAAUACUUGAUGGUCGAUAUGAAGUUACUGCUGCUCAUGGAAAAGGAGUAUUUUCAACAGUAGUUCGUGCAAAAGAUCUCAAGGGUGGGCCUGGCAAUCCAGACGAAGUAGCUAUAAAAAUUAUACGUAAUAACGAACACAUGCAUAAAGCUGGUAAGGAGGAAUUGAUCAUCUUGAAGAAGUUGGUUGUUGCUGACCCAGACAAUAAGCGCCAUUGUGUUCGUUUCCAAUCAUCGUUUAAAUACCGGAAUCAUCUUUGUUUGGUUUUCGAAUCGCUUCAUAUGAAUCUACGUGAAGUCUUAAAGAAGUUUGGCCGUAACAUUGGACUCAAACUAACUGCUGUGAGAACAUAUGCGAAACAACUUUUUGUUGCGCUAAAGCAUCUCAGAAACUGUGGCGUUCUUCACUGUGAUAUAAAGCCAGACAAUAUGCUGGUAAAUGAAGCGAAAAAUGUGCUGAAACUUUGUGAUUUUGGUAAUGCUAUGUUUGCUGGUAAAAAUGAAAUUACACCUUACCUUGUGAGCCGCUUUUAUCGUGCACCUGAGAUAAUUCUAGGUUUGCCAUAUGAUCAUCCAAUGGAUAUUUGGUCAGUUGGUUGCUGUUUAUUUGAGCUCUAUGCUGGAAAAGUUCUUUUUCCAGGUGCUACAAACAAUGACAUGCUUCGGCUUCAUAUGGAAUUAAAAGGUCCCUUUCCAAAGAAGAUGAUUCGAAAGGGAGGUUUCACAGAGCAACAUUUUGACCAAGAUUUGAAUUUUCUUGCCACAGAAGAUGAUCCUGUCACAAAGAAGACUAUAAAGAGGUUGAUCCCUAGCAUCAAGCCAAAAGAUAUAGGUGCAAUAGUUACAAGCUCUCCUGAGCUUUGGGACAGUUCUUGGCAUGGAGGAGUCAGAAGAGAUGAACUUUGGUAUGGAGGCCUCUUGGUGGUCCUUUCAGGGGAAUGUUUACUGUUUCUAUUGAGAUACUUCCAGUGCUAUGAGGCAACCAAUCAGUGCUUUAGAUACUAAACGGCACUCUGGAGAAGGUACCUUGGUUUGUUUAUUAGGGCCUUUAUGUGACACCCUUGAAUCUCCAUACUUGAUCUCUGUUUUGGUGGUUAUAUUUUCUCUUUCCAAUAGUUGUUUUUAGGGGUAGUGACUGAAAAUUCAUACAACAUUUAUCCACUACUUGGUGUGAAAGUUCUCUGGACCACACCUUCAUUUAUGAGAGUAUGCAUGACACAUUAUUGUUAUCCAGUUGUUUGUAAUUUCUAUCGUUAUGGGAAUGUGAAAAGGGUAAUGCUCACAUGCAUCAGCGGAAAAGGGUAAACUUCUCGGAAGUGUAAAUAUGCUGCUUGGAGAUGUAGUUGCAUGCAUGAUUUAUCCGCAUUCAAGUUUAAAUACAUAAAUUUACUUUGUGGUGAUGUGUUACUGUCGUAGUGACGUAUAUAAUCCGUGCUUCUGUAUGUUCAGUUCUUUUGGUUGUGCCUUUGAACAAAUGCCUAUUCUAAUGAGCUUGCAUUACGUCUUAUACAUGGUUUGGUCAUUCUGGAGGAGUUUGCAUUGGAAGUGUGCUGGAGCCUAGAAGUUAAACUGCUUUCCAGGUACAACUUCCAUGCUUCCAGAACUCUUGUAAGUAUCCGUAUUUCUUUCCUUCUCCUGGUGGUUUGAACUUACAUUUCAAUAUCAUCAUAGGUGCAUUAUCAAAGUCGGUGUGGUUUAUAACCAUGCUUUUGUGAUUACAUAUUACACUGUCACAUAGGUGCAUUAUCAAAGUAACCAUGCUUCAGUGAGUAGUUAUUAUACUUCUAGAAAUUCGAGAAUCAUUGAUUGGCCUUUUGCAUUUGUCCAGCUUGUCAUGCAAUUUUUUACUUAUAAAUUUAUCCUUGCAAUGAUGGGAGUGAUCCAAUCUUUGAUUAUGAUUUAGCUGAAUUAAGUUUUAAAAGCAUAUACUCCUACUUCUUUCCUUUUUCUUUUCUUUUUGACUGGAGAAAAUUCGGUGUAAUGCUACUUUACUCAACCUAGUGGUCUGUGGGUAGUGGGGAGGCAGGAGAGCUGCUGUCCCUUUAAGAGGUAGCAGCCUGCUGUCCUGGCCGAUUGGGACUCGUUCCGGUCUCGCUUUGAUGAUCGGUAACAUUCACUUCGUAGAGCUCGUCAAGUAGAAAAAGUGUAUCAAAAAUUAGCUCGAUUGGAUAUCAUUAAGUGCCUGAUCGGAACACAUAUAACUUGCCAAUAAUGGGUUCCAGUGGAUUUGAUCCAAUUCUUUUCAAGAAAAAAAUAUUCCGACAAUGCACUUAAUGAUAUUCGAUCGAGCUAAUUUUUGGUACACUUGUUUUCCUCAACGAGCUCUACGAAGUGAACAUUUCCGAUCAUCGAAAUGAGACCGGAGCAAGUCCCGAUCGGCCGGGACAGCAGGCUGCUGCCCUUUAAAGGGACAGCAGCUCCCCCGCGUCUGGGUAGUGGAUACAUAGUCAUGGCAUGCCAGAAAGAAUGUCUUCGUUUGUCGUAGCACCAUUAUUGGUUGAUAUUGAGAUUCUAAUGAGAGUUUGAAGUACUUUGGUUUGUCGUCAAUCGAACAAUUUGUCGGAUGUGCACUUGAUGUAUCCCUGUGGGGUGUGGUGCCAAGUAAUGCAAUGGUGAUGGGAAGGCACUGGUGGAUGUGUGUUGCAUUAUCCUGUUUACCUUGUCUUAGUUUCAUUGUUUCUGGACAGAGUACCAAGAUUGAUUUGGUGUGUUUCUCCGUGAAGAGGAGAGAAAUCAGAAAGGAAUAAGUUAUUUUUGUGUUAUUCAUUGAAUUUCAGUUGCAAUUGUUUUCCUAUGGUUUUUUUGCACCGUCUUUGACUGCUUUCGGAAUGUAGUGGUGCUGCUAUAAUGUUACUUCAAUUUAGACCACCUUAUAUGCCAGAUGGUUUGGGCAUGAAUUUGGUCUUGUAUCAUAGAGGAGAGAUAAAGGUAAAAGAUAAGCGAAAAAAGGUGAGAAUCUUGGUUAGUAUCCCUUCCCGAUUCUUGUCGAAAAUCCUGCUAUUCUAUGCGUAGUUACAGCUUGCUAAAGGGUGGUGGUUUGUUUGACGAGGCAAAAGGAAAGAGUCAAUAACACUAGUUCUGCCCAAAGUUGGACAGAAGUUAUUCAUGUUUCAUUUUGUGUAGCUCUGUGUAUCAUGGGUCUAAUACUCGUACACCCUUUGCUGAUUUUCAUAGAAGUUUGUAGCUCUAGAUCUAAGAAAAGUUUGUUGCUUUUCUUGUGAGAAGUCCAAUUUGAGGCUUGUGCCAUUUGUGUACUCUCGACAAAUUCAAGAUCCUAAAGUAUUUUGAUGUUAUAAAUGAUAGUGAAGUGCCGAAGAUGUUUUCAGCCU
Molecule: RNA transcript, 5402 nt
Organism: Rhododendron vialii
Lineage: Eukaryota; Viridiplantae; Streptophyta; Magnoliopsida; Ericales; Ericaceae
Exons: 15
Source: RefSeq, a predicted model, not a curated record